AUAUUUUCUUUCAACUAACACAAAACAUCUGUCUUUUGCGAUAUGUCGCAGCCUUUUGUGGUGUGUUUGU
Etheostoma spectabile (orangethroat darter) is the source of this 70-nucleotide long non-coding RNA. RefSeq lists it as uncharacterized. Lineage: Eukaryota; Metazoa; Chordata; Actinopteri; Perciformes; Percidae. The transcript is spliced from 3 exons. The record is from RefSeq and is a predicted model, not a curated record.